RNAcentral lists this ribosomal RNA (609 nucleotides) under Chaetopterus sp. NKP-2014. RNAcentral describes it as "SSU rRNA". It matches the Rfam family "Eukaryotic small subunit ribosomal RNA", at positions 558 to 1172 of the family's 1831-position model. The record is from RNAcentral. Lineage: Eukaryota; Metazoa; Annelida; Polychaeta; Chaetopteridae.
AGUCUGGUGCCAGCAGCCGCGGUAAUUCCAGCUCCAAUAGCGUAUAUUAAAGUUGUUGCAGUUAAAAAGCUCGUAGUUGGAUCUCGGGUCCAGGCUUGUGGUCCACCUCGCGGUGGUUACUGCUCGUCCUGACCUACCUCCCGGUUUUCCCUUGAUGCUCUUAGCUGAGUGUCUCGGGUGGCCGGAACGUUUACUUUGAAAAAAUUAGAGUGUUCAAAGCAGGCAUUUCGCCUGAAUAAUGGUGCAUGGAAUAAUGGAAUAGGACCUCGGUUCUAUUUUGUUGGUUUUCGGAACUUGAGGUAAUGAUUAAGAGGGACAGACGGGGGCAUUCGUAUUACGGUGUUAGAGGUGAAAUUCUUGGAUCGCCGUAAGACGAACUACUGCGAAAGCAUUUGCCAAGAAUGUUUUCAUUAAUCAAGAGCGAAAGUCAGCGGUUCGAAGACGAUCAGAUACCGUCGUAGUUCUGACCAUAAACGAUGCCAACUAGCGAUCCGCCGGAGUUGCUUCAAUGACUCGGCGGGCAGCUUCCGGGAAACCAAAGUCUUUGGGUUCCGGGGGAAGUAUGGUUGCAAAGCUGAAACUUAAAGAAAUUGACGAAAAGGGGGACCA